RNAcentral lists this ribosomal RNA (284 nucleotides) under Theileria mutans. RNAcentral describes it as "partial small subunit ribosomal RNA". It matches the Rfam family "Eukaryotic small subunit ribosomal RNA", at positions 622 to 947 of the family's 1831-position model. Lineage: Eukaryota; Apicomplexa; Aconoidasida; Piroplasmida; Theileriidae. The record is from RNAcentral.
AAAAGCUCGUAGUUGAAUUUCUGCCGCAUCGCGGCGGCCCUCCCGGGCCCAGCGUUGCGGCUUAUUUCGGACUCGCUUGCGUCUCCGAAUGUUUACUUUGAGAAAAUUAGAGUGCUCAAAGCAGGCCCUUGCCUUGAAUACUUUAGCAUGGAAUAAUAAAGUAGGACUUUGGUUCUAUUUUGUUGGUUUAGCGCCAAAGUAAUGGUUAAUAGGAACAGUUGGGGGCAUUCGUAUUUAACUGUCAGAGGUGAAAUUCUUAGAUUUGUUAAAGACAAACUACUGCG